AAGACCUUGCGCUUUUGGAGCGGCCGAUGUCUGAUUAGCUUGUUGGUGAGGUAAAAGCUUACCAAGGCUUCGAUCAGUAGUUGGUCUGAGAGGACGGCCAGCCACACUGGGACUGAGACACGGCCCAGACUCCUACGGGAGGCAGCAGUGGGGAAUUUUGGACAAUGGGGGCAACCCUGAUCCAGCCAUGCCGCGUGAGUGAAGAAGGCCUUCGGGUUGUAAAGCUCUUUCAGCCGGAACGAAACGGUUACGGUUAAUACCCGUGACUACUGACGGUACCGGAAGAAGAAGCACCGGCUAACUACGUGCCAGCAGCCGCGGUAAUACGUAGGGUGCAAGCGUUAAUCGGAAUUACUGGGCGUAAAGCGUGCGCAGGUGGUUUUGUAAGUCAGAUGUGAAAUCCCCGGGCUUAACCUGGGAACU
Molecule: ribosomal RNA, 423 nt
Filed under: uncultured bacterium
Lineage: Bacteria
Description: bacterial SSU rRNA
Rfam family: Bacterial small subunit ribosomal RNA
Source: RNAcentral